CGCGGGUAGAUCGGCUUCGGCCGCGGCGAUCUGCGGCCGCCACGACGACGGGACGGUGCCCGUCGGCGGCGCGGCGCCACCACCGGCGUC
RNAcentral lists this transfer RNA (90 nucleotides) under Paractinoplanes abujensis. RNAcentral's name for it is "tRNA-Ala". Lineage: Bacteria; Bacillati; Actinomycetota; Actinomycetes; Micromonosporales; Micromonosporaceae. The record is from RNAcentral.